GGCUCAGUGGUCUAGUGGUAUGAUUCUUGCUUUGGUGCGAGAGGCCACGGGUUCGAUUCUCGUCUGAGCCC
RNAcentral lists this transfer RNA (71 nucleotides) under Nematostella vectensis (starlet sea anemone). It matches the Rfam family "tRNA". From Rfam's summary of the family: Transfer RNA (tRNA) molecules are approximately 80 nucleotides in length. Their secondary structure includes four short double-helical elements and three loops (D, anti-codon, and T loops). Further hydrogen bonds mediate the characteristic L-shaped molecular structure. tRNAs have two regions of fundamental functional importance: the anti-codon, which is responsible for specific mRNA codon recognition, and the 3' end, to which the tRNAs corresponding amino acid is attached (by aminoacyl-tRNA synthetases). tRNAs cope with the degeneracy of the genetic code in two manners: having more than one tRNA (with a specific anti-codon) for a particular amino acid; and 'wobble' base-pairing, i.e. permitting non-standard base-pairing at the 3rd anti-codon position. The record is from Rfam by way of RNAcentral. Lineage: Eukaryota; Metazoa; Cnidaria; Anthozoa; Actiniaria; Edwardsiidae.